RNAcentral lists this ribosomal RNA (468 nucleotides) under uncultured bacterium. Its description in RNAcentral is "partial 16S ribosomal RNA". It matches the Rfam family "Bacterial small subunit ribosomal RNA", at positions 28 to 507 of the family's 1533-position model. The record is from RNAcentral.
GACGAACGCUGGCGGCGUGCUUAACACAUGCAAGUCGAACGGAAAGGCCCUGCUUUUGUGGGGUGCUCGAGUGGCGAACGGGUGAGUAACACGUGAGUAACCUGCCCUUGACUUUGGGAUAACUUCAGGAAACUGGGGCUAAUACCGGAUAGGAGCUCCUGCUGCAUGGUGGGGGUUGGAAAGUUUCGGCGGUUGUGGAUGGACUCGCGGCUUAUCAGCUUGUUGGUGAGGUAGUGGCUUACCAAGGCUUUGACGGGUAGCCGGCCUGGGAGGGUGACCGGCCACAUUGGGACUGAGGUACGGCCCAGACUCCUACGUGAGGCAGCAGUGGAGAGUAUUGCACAAUGGGCGGAAGCCUGAUGCAGCAACGCCGCGUGCGGGAUGACGGCCUUCGGGUUGUAAACCGCUUUCGCCUGUGACGAAGCGUGAGUGACGGUAAUGGGUAAAGAAGCACCGGCUAACUACGUG